Non-coding RNA from Peromyscus maniculatus bairdii (prairie deer mouse), 2904 nucleotides. NCBI's taxonomy places the organism in Eukaryota, Metazoa, Chordata, Mammalia, Rodentia, Cricetidae. The record is from RefSeq and is a predicted model, not a curated record.
CCUGCAAUUUAUUAUUUCUGGUGUUGAGGCUUAGAUUCAACUACGGCAGGAGCAAAAGCCCUUAGCAGUUAGCACUUUAUAUUCUUUUGUUCUUCUGUUCUGCUAAUAAGAUACUCCCAAGUUGCCUAAGCCCAGAGAGCGUACAUACAUCACAUUUGGAGAUCGAUUUUGUCUCAGUAAGUCUUUUACAAUUCUCCCCAGCCUUCCCAGACCUUGAGCGACCAACACUGAGCUGUGAGAGCAAUGCUAAUUGCUUUCCCCCGGGGUCAAGCAUCUUCCUCGCAAACCAUGAAUCCAGUAGCCACUGAAAACCCAGAGGAAGAAUUGACAGCCAGGCUUACAAGAGGUCUAAUUGAGCUUUUUAAACAUUUAGCUCUAAUGCAAAUUUGUUUGCGAUCGAUUUUUUUCUCUCAUCUCUUAACAUGUCCUGAAGGAAAUAAUUGCUGUGACUAUGUAGACUCAGCUUAUUCAUUAUCACUGUGGACGUGAAGCUUCCUUCCCAGAAUCUCUGAGACGUUAAAACACAUCUCCCUCCCUCCCGCCCUCCUUUUAACAUAAGGGGUAAGUCACUGAGGCUUUUUCAAAGAAGCCUGAUGGCUCUGUGCAGAGGUUGGCAUGUGCUGGAGAGAAUACCGUGAAGAUCAAAAUUCCCGUCUCUAUCCGGAUGGAUUUGCGUAGGUCCCUCUCAGGGGAGGAGGCAGACAGAGCAAAUAGGUUGAACCUGCUAUAGCACUGAGAGGAACCUCUCUAGAUGUUAGGUUUAAUUCCACCAAGCAAGAAAAACUGAAGACUGGGAGAACGAUGGGACAUGCAUAGACCCUCCAGUUAUCAUGUCUUUUCCAGGCGACUCCAGAUGUUCUGGGUGGCUCGAUGAUCAUGAAAUUUUUAUUUUUUGAGAGUAGACCAGGCUGGCCUCCAACUCAAUACGCAGCUGAGGGUGACCUUGAACUCCCCUGAUUCCCCUGCCUCCGCUUCGUGAGUCGGCUUCAUGUGGAGGGCUAAGUCAGGGCUUGCUGCAUGCUAGGUAAGCCCUCUGCCGACUGAGUUCCAUCUGCAGGCCCUCAGGUAGUUUUAAAAGAUGUCUCAAGCCCUUUCUUCAAAAUAUGAAGCCAGGUGCCCUCUGCCUGGAUGGGAAGCAGGCCUAGCGAUUCACUUCCAACAGAAUGUAGUGAAAGUGAUGUCAUGUGACUUCCAUGCAUUGGUCACAGAAGGGUGGCUUUCUACCAGAUUUCUCUCUCAGGUCAUUUUCUUCUGGCUGUUACAGUGGGAAGAAGAAGCCAGCUCGGAAGACAGCUAUGGCAUCCUGCAACUUUGCACAGAAAGAGAGAUGCCAGAGAGAGUGGGGGAAACAUUAUCUCACAAGCAGGAGCCUAGUUACUUAAAACUGGAGUAGAAGAACAUCCACAUGAUCACACACCCACUGCUGGCGGCACUGACAGCCUGCUGCACAUCUGCUCCAUGACGAUCCUGCGGCUCUCCGACUCGACUCUCAAAACCGCGCCGCAAAUCCCUGGGAAAUUUCACACCGUUUUAGAAACAGUGAGCCCUGAUGGCAGCUUGUCAAGCAUUGACUGUGCGUCUUCCCAGUUAUGCCUCUGACAGGAACCCUUGAGGCAUGCGGGGGAAAAUGGCAGAGGUCCAGUUAUGAUGAUUAAGUCAAAACUCACUGCCAUUCGCCAGCAGCCAUGGAGCCAGAGUCUUUUCAUCUUUUAAGUUCCACUAAUAGGCCCUUGGGCAGGAAGAGAGAAAGCGGGAAGAAGAAAAGGGCAGAAGGGGACUGAGGCAUGAAGGCAGAAAGAGCAUUACCAUCACCACCAACCCCAUUCUUUGUCGGAUGCAAUUAAAAUCCCAGUGCCUGGUGCUUUCUGCCAGAGAGAUAAACAGUACCUGACCCCAUGUGAUCUGCUGCAUGAAUAGAGAUCAGGAUUUCAUCUUAGAAGCAACUCGAUUUUGGACGGUUGCUAAGGAGACUAUUGGCAUCUCAGUGUCCUGUGUGCCCUAUUGCUUGGAAAGAAUUACAGCAGCAUCACCGGUUACUCUCCCACAGAGAAAAACCUAAAAACUCAUUCGGGAAGCCAACAGUUUGAGAUUCCACUGUUCUCUUUUAUUGUUUCGAGUGCUGCCGGCCUUGGAGUGUAACUCGUGAGCAUAUUGACAUCUAAAUGGGCAGGAUACACAGAGCCACACUGUUGUGGGGUAUCUGUACACUGUGAAGACGUGUUGCUGUGAUGGUGUAAUAAAAAGCUGAAUGGCCAAUAGCUAGGCAGGACUUCUGGGAAGAGAGAGGAUGCAGGGAAGAAGAAAGGGGGAGUCGCCAGCCAGAUGCAGAGGAAGCAGGGCAUGCCGGAGAAGAGUUUCAGAGCUCUCAGUCCAGAGACCCGGGCUUCACACACCCUGGGCCUGUGAUGGAGCCAUACUGCCCUGUCAGCAAAAGCCUGUGGCAGAGGCUGCCAUGGUGGCUGGGAAGCAGAGAGCAGAGAAAGGAUUGGGGACAGUUUUCAGCACAUGCAGAAGGAGGCAUGCAUCGAUUAGAGAUGUCGUCAACUACAAAUAAUGCAACGGAGCAAGCAGAGGCUUCAGUAUGCACUGCUUGGGCUGCAGUAGAACAUGAUUUACGACAUUAGUUCAGUGGAAGAAGCCACCGAGGCUUCUAUUGACGCUCUCCGUGGUGUGGCUGGACAACAGGAUCGCUGUGCAGUUGACUUGGGCUUCCCGAGUGAAGAUAGAGACCUAAACAAACAGAACAGAGGGGAUUCAAGAGACAGCUCUGGGCAGCUUUAUUACUCGUCAGUUUACAUAGCCCGAUAAAUACAGAAAGAAAUCUACUGUGCGUAAAUGCUGAGAUUCUGGGGAAGGGCAAGGGCCGAGGAACAGGCCACAAAUAAAGGAUGAGUUAAAAAAAAA